CCGCGACCGAGAUCGCCGCAACGCGUCACCAUCACCAUCAUCAUCACCGUCGGGUGUCAGUGUAAACACACCGGGGCGGCACCCCCCCUCCUCCCCUCCUCCCGUGCCCCGUUCUUCCAAGCGCGAGAUAUCGCGGGGUCCGCCCGCUCCGGAUCCGCGAUAUUCUCCGCACACUUUAGGGGACGGGUUUUUCGAAGACUUCGUCGUGAUUUCAAUCGUGACUUCGUCCAAACUCUUGAACGCAUCAUCGAUCGAGGAUCGCUGGAUCGCCGAUCCUGUUCUUCACCUUGCGAAUCGACUAAUCGGUCUUGGAUCUAUCGCGACUAUAUUUGCGCAUCACGAUUUUUCGCGAAUCGAUCUUUAUUCGUCUUACCAAUUUAAUCUGACCGAUUUAACUGAUCAGGGGGCUCUAUUUUCGAGACGGAACUUGGCGAACCGAGUGUUUUUCCGUUUGGCAAUUAAACAAUUUCAUUUCCUAAAUUACCGUCGAUUAUUCGAUGCUCUUUACAUAAGAUAAGAUAAUCGUACUUCUUCUCUUUCUCCGUUGAUAAGUGAGUUCAGUACCGGUUCUUAGCGAUAAACUGCUUUAAAAAGAUCACGAUACGUAACAGCGGUUGUCUCACCAGUUAAGAAUUAACACCCCGGUGUAAAUAAAAACAAUUCUCUCCGUGAGCUUCGGAGAUCGUGAUAUGAUAACUCGUGGUAUGAUGAACUAAAAUGGAAAAAUAUAAUAGAUUUUUUCACGAAUAGCUUGACGUAAUGUGAAAAUUGGAGUGAUUAUCGGAGGAUUGCCUGGUGUCGUUCACGAUUGAGCCUUGAAGGAGCCACAUACGAAGACAAGAGAAAUGGAGCAUUCCAAAACCACGCAUAUACAUGCAUUACACAUUGUAAUUAGUGCUUCUAAUAGCUUCUAAUAGAAUAAGUUCAUCAAAGAUGCACGCCAAGUUAUCCAUUGAUCCAGGCAAAUCUGGAGAUAAAGCGUUGGACAUUGGAAUGCACAAUAGAAUCAACCUGACCUCUCAACCACGAUAAGCGUUCACGUUGAACGUCUCGUGGUGUUGAAAUGUGAAUCACGCAUCAAUUAUCAAAGCGAUUUCUGAUUUGAUUAUGAAAGCCCGAAAGUAUCUUCGAAAAGUAAUCGAGGCGAAACUGAACGUAGAGACCAUAAAGCAAUGCUGUGUAGUUUGAAUUAAAUUCAACUAAUUUUUCUAGAAAUACAUGAAAAUUCUGUUAUUUUUUUCAUCCUCUGCUUUUUUUUAUUGCAUUUAUCAUUCAUCAUUUUUCGAUUUUGCUAAUUUUUGAUUGCACGCUUGCUUAGAGACGGAUAAAUUAUUUGGUAAAAAUAUUAAACAUGUAAACAUGUAAAAAGCGGAACAUAUUCAUGUAACGAGAUAAAAAACUCACUCUGUGAUCUAUUAAGUAUAAUAUAACGAACAAUCGACAGCCAUCAGUCUUGGAAAACUCGAGCACAUUUGAAACUUCAAUUAAUCCUUUAUUAUCUAUUGCGUGGCAACCACUGGAAAAGUUUUUAUGUAGCCGUUAUAAUAAACUAUAAUGAAUUCUA
This 1564-nucleotide long non-coding RNA is filed under the name Pogonomyrmex barbatus (red harvester ant). Its description in RNAcentral is "uncharacterized LOC105429770, transcript variant X1". The record is from RNAcentral. Lineage: Eukaryota; Metazoa; Arthropoda; Insecta; Hymenoptera; Formicidae.